UACGUAGGGUGCGAGCGUUGUCCGGAAUUACUGGGCGUAAAGCGUGCGCAGGCGGCUUUGCAAGACAGAUGUGAAAUCCCCGGGCUUAACCUGGGAACUGCAUUUGUGACUGCAUGGCUGGAGUGCGGCAGAGGGGGAUGGAAUUCCGCGUGUAGCAGUGAAAUGCGUAGAUAUGCGGAGGAACACCGAUGGCGAAGGCAAUCCCCUGGGCCUGUACUGACGCUCAUGCACGAAAGCGUGGGGAGCAAACAGG
This 253-nucleotide ribosomal RNA is filed under the name uncultured bacterium. RNAcentral describes it as "partial 16S ribosomal RNA". It matches the Rfam family "Bacterial small subunit ribosomal RNA", at positions 524 to 776 of the family's 1533-position model. The record is from RNAcentral.